GUUAUAGUAGUUUAAUAAAACAAUGGUCUUGUAAGCCAUAAUUGAGAUAGUUUUCUCCUAAAACU
RNAcentral lists this transfer RNA (65 nucleotides) under Matrona basilaris. RNAcentral describes it as "tRNA-Thr". It matches the Rfam family "tRNA". Rfam says of the family: Transfer RNA (tRNA) molecules are approximately 80 nucleotides in length. Their secondary structure includes four short double-helical elements and three loops (D, anti-codon, and T loops). The record is from RNAcentral. Lineage: Eukaryota; Metazoa; Arthropoda; Insecta; Odonata; Calopterygidae.